AGAAACACUAUAUAUGAC
This 18-nucleotide small RNA is filed under the name Arabidopsis thaliana (thale cress). RNAcentral's name for it is "ATSL029890". Lineage: Eukaryota; Viridiplantae; Streptophyta; Magnoliopsida; Brassicales; Brassicaceae. The record is from RNAcentral.